RNAcentral lists this ribosomal RNA (433 nucleotides) under uncultured bacterium. Its description in RNAcentral is "partial 16S ribosomal RNA". It matches the Rfam family "Bacterial small subunit ribosomal RNA", at positions 29 to 507 of the family's 1533-position model. The record is from RNAcentral.
AACGAACGCUGGCGGCAUGCCUAACACAUGCAAGUCGAACGAGACCUUCGGGUCUAGUGGCGCACGGGUGCGUAACGCGGGGGAACCUGCCCUUAGGUUCGGAAUAACUCCCCGAAAGGGGUGCUAAUACCGGAUAAUGUCUCCGGACCAAAGAUUGAUCGCCUUUGGAUGGGCCCGCGUUGGAUUAGCUAGUUGGUAGGGUAAAAGCCUCCCAAGGCGACGAUCCAUAGCUGGUCUGAGAGGAUGAUCAGCCACACUGGGACUGAGACACGGCCCAGACUCCUACGGGAGGCAGCAGUGGGGAAUAUUGGACAAUGGGCGAAAGCCUGAUCCAGCAAUGCCGCGUGAGUGAUGAAGGCCUUAGGGUUGUAAAGCUCUUUUACCCGGGAUGAUAAUGACAGUACCGGGAGAAUAAGCUCCGGCUAACUCCGUG